This 467-nucleotide ribosomal RNA is filed under the name uncultured bacterium. Its description in RNAcentral is "bacterial SSU rRNA". It matches the Rfam family "Bacterial small subunit ribosomal RNA", at positions 27 to 507 of the family's 1533-position model. The record is from RNAcentral.
ACGGACGAACGCUGGCGGCGUGCCUAACACAUGCAAGUCGAGCGAGUGAAUCUCCUUCGGGAGUGAAGCUAGCGGCGGACGGGUGAGUAACACGUGGGCAACCUGCCUCAUAGAGGGGAAUAGCCUUUCGAAAGGAAGAUUAAUACCGCAUAAGAUUGUAGCUUCGCAUGAAGUAGCAAUUAAAGGAGCAAUCCGCUAUGAGAUGGGCCCGCGGCGCAUUAGCUAGUUGGUGAGGUAACGGCUCACCAAGGCGACGAUGCGUAGCCGACCUGAGAGGGUGAUCGGCCACAUUGGGACUGAGACACGGCCCAGACUCCUACGGGAGGCAGCAGUGGGGAAUAUUGCACAAUGGGGGAAACCCUGAUGCAGCAACGCCGCGUGAGUGAUGACGGCCUUCGGGUUGUAAAGCUCUGUCUUCAGGGACGAUAAUGACGGUACCUGAGGAGGAAGCCACGGCUAACUACGUG